Molecule: ribosomal RNA, 609 nt
Filed under: Debaryomyces sp.
Lineage: Eukaryota; Fungi; Ascomycota; Pichiomycetes; Serinales; Debaryomycetaceae
Description: eukaryotic LSU rRNA
Rfam family: 5.8S ribosomal RNA (bases 215-368)
Source: RNAcentral
UGCGGAAGGAUCAUUACAGUAUUCUUUUUGCCAGCGCUUAAUUGCGCGGCGAAAAAACCUUACACACAGUGUUUUUUGUUAUUACAAGAACUUUUGCUUUGGUCUGGACUAGAAAUAGUUUGGGCCAGAGGUUACUGAACUAAACUUCAAUAUUUAUAUUGAAUUGUUAUUUAUUUAAUUGUCAAUUUGUUGAUUAAAUUCAAAAAAUCUUCAAAACUUUCAACAACGGAUCUCUUGGUUCUCGCAUCGAUGAAGAACGCAGCGAAAUGCGAUAAGUAAUAUGAAUUGCAGAUUUUCGUGAAUCAUCGAAUCUUUGAACGCACAUUGCGCCCUCUGGUAUUCCAGAGGGCAUGCCUGUUUGAGCGUCAUUUCUCUCUCAAACCUUCGGGUUUGGUAUUGAGUGAUACUCUUAGUCGAACUAGGCGUUUGCUUGAAAUGUAUUGGCAUGAGUGGUACUGGAUAGUGCUAUAUGACUUUCAAUGUAUUAGGUUUAUCCAACUCGUUGAAUAGUUUAAUGGUAUAUUUCUCGGUAUUCUAGGCUCGGCCUUACAAUAUAACAAACAAGUUUGACCUCAAAUCAGGUAGGACUACCCGCUGAACUUAAGCAUA